Molecule: long non-coding RNA, 2890 nt
Filed under: Equus caballus (horse)
Lineage: Eukaryota; Metazoa; Chordata; Mammalia; Perissodactyla; Equidae
Description: lncRNA (ENSECAG00000053380.1)
Source: RNAcentral
CAGCUGCCUCCUCUCCCGGAGCCAGCCGUUUGAGGUCUUGGCUCAAAUCUUUUCUUCUUGAUGACACCUAGCCUCAGCCCCCUGUUUAAUACUGCAACCUGAUUCCUAUGCCUUGAUCUUCCUUUUACCUCUGGUCCAGAGCAAGCCUGGCUGUCUAACGUACUUUAUAACGCACUUAUUUAUUAUGGGUAUUGUUUGUGGUAAGUUUCUGCUGGAAGUGAGGCCCCCAGAGAGGAGGAACCGUUCUGUUCACUGAUGCAUCCCCUGUGUCUAGACUGGUGCUCACUAUGUGUCAGAUGCAGUGACUGAGGAACUUGGGGCCUGAGUGGUGAAGUAACCUGCCCAUGGUCACCCAGCUCAUCGCGGGAGGAGCAGGGAAUCAAGCCCAGACUCUGGCCCCAGAAUCCAAGCUCUGAACCGCUGAGGUCUACUGCCCGCCCAGUGACACCCUGCAUCUUUCUGAUGAUCUCCGCCCCUCUUGUCCAGGCCUCACCAGGCUAGGCCUGUACCCUCUUCUGUUUCCACCCAGGCUGAUGUCUGGAUUCUCCCUGGGCUCCUGCUCCAGCCUCCACAUCCCUUCAGGAAGUGGAUUGGGCUGUGUGGUCCCCACCAACUGUCCCCUCGGUGCCUGUGCCUCCCUCAGAGGGGCGGGCGGUAGGCCUCCAAGCAAACUCCUCCUAACCUUUGCCUGGCCUCGCUGGUGGCAGACAGCUAUUAGAGUGGCUCUUGACUUUGAGAGACACCUGAAUGAUAUUUCAGCAGCUCUCUGUGGCCUGUUCCCUGGUCCUUUUACCUUCAGGCUAAUCCUGCCAUCUCAGAAGUCCUGCUCUCUGGCAGUUUUUGCAUCAGGGAGGGUCAAGACACAAUCCUGAGCUGCUGCUGGUUCCGGUGAGGACCAACAGCUGAUCUCAGCAGCCUCUAGGUUCCACCGGACCAGGCCACAGCUCACCUUCCACCUCGCCUCCACACGGCAGAAGAGGUGUCAAGUGCCGGGGUUGAGGCGGGGGAAGCAAGGGGGCGGACCCAGAGCGUGGCUCAGCCAGAGACCCGUGCUCCACCGCGUCAGCUCCGUAUGUCUCCUAGGUUGUGGGAAAAAGUGAUAAUGAUGAUUGCAAACUCCAUACCUUUUCAGCCUCUUUCUUUUCUGCGGUCAACCGUCUGUCAUCAUUGGUCCGGCAUGACCUACUUCUACUUAUUUGAUUAGCUUUUUUUUUUUUUUUUAAAAGAUUGUAUUUUUUUCCUUUUUCUCCCCAAAGCCCCCCGGUACAUAGUUGUAUAUUCUUCAUUGUGGGUCCUUCUAGUUGUGGCAUGUGGGAUGCUGCCUCAGCGUGGUUUGAGGAGCUGUGCCAUGUCCGCGCCCAGGAUUCGAACCAACGAAACACUGGGCCACCUGCAGCGGAGCGCGCGAACUUAACCACUCAGCCACGGGGCCAGCCCCUGAUUAGCUAUUUUUAACAAUAAGCACAUGCAAACCCACUACCCCGAACAAAAGCUGGAACCCUGACAAUAACUUAUACCUGGUCACACGGUCCCCACUCCAUCCCAGCUCGUCUCCACAGUGCACAGAGUGUCCGGUCUCCGUCCUGAAGCCUGCCUGCUUUGUUUUUGCCCUGGCUUUUCAAUAGUUUUUUUGCAUCCGUAUGUGUUCCUAGAAAGUGUAUCUCUAUAUUUUCAUUUUAUAAAGUGGGUGUCAUGCUGUUUGUAAUCUUCUCAGACAUCCUGCUAUACUGCUAAGAUUCAGCCACGUGUGGCGUCUCAGUGGCUCAUUCAUUCUGAAUCCCUCAGAAAAUCCCACUGGGUGAGUGUGUUCCUGCCCACAGACAGGUGAAGGCCUUUCAGGUUUUGCCUUCGUGGCUAGUGUGCUCCGAGCACUGCCAACACUUCUUGUCCUAGUUUCAACAUUGCUGCCAUGUUGUUGAAUUAGCUAGUCUUCUUUCAUCAUUUUUUAAUGUCUAGUUAAACAUGUGGUCAUGUCCCCCUUUUCAUCCAUAAGAUUUUUUUGUUUCUUUUUUCUUGAGCAACCUUGACAGAAACUGACCUAUUUUGUUACUUUCCCUAAAAAGGUAACCUUUGGCUUUGUCAAUCUCUCUUGUAUCUUUGUUUCCUACUUUAAUAAUCUGCGCUUAUUUUCAUCAUUUUGUUGUUCUUUCUCUAAUUUCUUAAAAUGGAACCCCAGCUUAUUAAUCUUGAGGCUCUCAUCUUUUCUAAUAUAAGUAUUUAAGGUUAUAAAUUUCCCUCAAACACUGUUUUUUCUGUAUCUCACAAGCUUUGAUAUGUAAAACUUUCAUUUUCAUUCACUUCUGGAUAUUUUAAAGAUUUCAUAUGGUUUCCUCUUGAAAAGUGAAUGAGUUAUUUCACAAUUUUUAAAACAUUUCCAAGUGUAUUGGGAUUAUUUACCUUUUUAAAGGGCAGAGAUUGUGGUUUGCAUGAUAUUUAUUUUUUUUAACUAGUUGUUUCUUUCUGGCUUAUAUAAUCAAAAUGUUAAUGCUCCGUGUGCUUGGAAAACCCAAAUGUGUGUGCUCAAAUUGCUGCGUACACCUGUCUCUGUGUCCAUUAGAUCAAGGGUGUUAGCUGCAUCAUUCGGACUUUCUACAUCCUCGUCGGGCCUUCUAUGUCCUCCCCUUGUGGUUGGCUUGACUCAUCGGUAGUCAAGACGUGUGUUGAAAUCUCCACCAUGAAGAUGAAUUCACUGAUUUCUCCUUGUAGUUCUAUCAAUGGUUCUUCUAUAUAUUUUGAAGUUAUUUUAUUGGGUACAUACACGGAAAUCUCUUCUUGGUGAAUUUAAUCUUUCAUCAUCAUGUAGUCAUCUUUGUCAUCCUUAAUAAUGCUUUUUGUCCUGAAGUCUAUCGUACCUGACAUGAGCACAGCGACACCAGCUCUCUUUGGUCAG